This 825-nucleotide ribosomal RNA is filed under the name Edwardsiella tarda. RNAcentral describes it as "bacterial SSU rRNA". It matches the Rfam family "Bacterial small subunit ribosomal RNA", at positions 1 to 812 of the family's 1533-position model. The record is from RNAcentral. Lineage: Bacteria; Pseudomonadati; Pseudomonadota; Gammaproteobacteria; Enterobacterales; Hafniaceae.
AGUAUUGAUUAUUGUCUCAGAUUGAACAGCUGGGCGGGCAGGGCGUAUCACAUGCACAUCGAGCGGUAGGCACGGGAGAAGAGCCUGCUUUCUUCCGCUGACGAGCGGCGGACGGGUGAGUAAUGUCUGGGGAUCUGCCUGAUGGAGGGGGAUAACUACUGGAAACGGUAGCUAAUACCGCAUAACGUCGCAAGACCAAAGUGGGGGACCUUCGGGCCUCAUGCCAUCAGAUGAACCCAGAUGGGAUUAGCUAGUAGGUGAGGUAAUGGCUCACCUAGGCGACGAUCCCUAGCUGGUCUGAGAGGAUGACCAGCCACACUGGAACUGAGACACGGUCCAGACUCCUACGGGAGGCAGCAGUGGGGAAUAUUGCACAAUGGGCGCAAGCCUGAUGCAGCCAUGCCGCGUGUAUGAAGAAGGCCUUCGGGUUGUAAAGUACUUUCAGUAGGGAGGAAGGUGUGCGUGUUAAUAGCACGUACAAUUGACGUUACCUACAGAAGAAGCACCGGCUAACUCCGUGCCAGCAGCCGCGGUAAUACGGAGGGUGCAAGCGUUAAUCGGAAUUACUGGGCGUAAAGCGCACGCAGGCGGUUUGUUAAGUUGGAUGUGAAAUCCCCGGGCUUAACCUGGGAACUGCAUCCAAGACUGGCAAGCUAGAGUCUCGUAGAGGGAGGUAGAAUUCCAGGUGUAGCGGUGAAAUGCGUAGAGAUCUGGAGGAAUACCGGUGGCGAAGGCGGCCUCCUGGACGAAGACUGACGCUCAGGUGCGAAAGCGUGGGGAGCAAACAGGAAUAGAUACCCUGGUAGUCCACGCUGUAAACGAUGU